Molecule: ribosomal RNA, 197 nt
Filed under: Escherichia coli
Lineage: Bacteria; Pseudomonadati; Pseudomonadota; Gammaproteobacteria; Enterobacterales; Enterobacteriaceae
Description: partial 16S ribosomal RNA
Rfam family: Bacterial small subunit ribosomal RNA
Source: RNAcentral
AAAUUGAAGAGUUUGAUCAUGGCUCAGAUUGAACGCUGGCGGCAGGCCUAACACAUGCAAGUCGAACGGUAACAGGAAGAAGCUUGCUUCUUUGCUGACGAGUGGCGGACGGGUGAGUAAUGUCUGGGAAGCUGCCUGAUGGAGGGGGAUAACUACUGGAAACGGUAGCUAAUACCGCAUAACGUCGCAAGACCAAA